This 577-nucleotide small RNA is filed under the name Pan troglodytes (chimpanzee). RNAcentral describes it as "retained intron". The record is from RNAcentral. Lineage: Eukaryota; Metazoa; Chordata; Mammalia; Primates; Hominidae.
AAGGGGGUGAAGGGUGUCCCCCUGAACCUGCAGAUUGACACCUAUGACUGUGGCUUGGGCACUGAGCGCCUGGUACACCGUGCUGUCUGCCAGAUCAAGAUCUUCUGUGACAAGGGAGCUGAGAGGAAGAUGCGCGAUGACGAGCGGAAGCAGUUCCGGAGGAAGGUCAAGUGCCCUGACUCCAGCAACAGUGGCGUCAAGGGCUGCCUGCUGUCGGGCUUCAGGGGCAAUGAGACGACCUACCUUCGGCCAGAGACUGACCUGGAGACGCCACCCGUGCUGUUCAUCCCCAAUGUGCACUUCUCCAGCCUGCAGCGCUCUGGAGGGGUGAGGCCAGGGCUGGGGUCUCGGGAAGGAGCCGAGAGAGGGUCCUGGCUCCUAGGUGGGGCCUGCCUUAGCACAGACCAGUGGGGAGCAGCCUGCCCCUCAGCCAGUUUCAAGACCUUUAUUGAAUCAUAGGGGUUUAAACAUGUAUAUAUGGUCCUAUAGCUUCAGUGACCUAUUGUACUGAAGAGAAGAAUGUUAUGAAGAAACAGAUUUCGUAACCAUUAAAACGUUCAUGCUUAGGGCACACAAA